CCUGGUGGCUCAGAAGAUAAAGAAUCUGCCUGCAAAGCAGAAGACCCGGGUUCGAUCCCUGGGUCAGGA
RNAcentral lists this transfer RNA (69 nucleotides) under Ovis aries (sheep). It matches the Rfam family "tRNA". From Rfam's summary of the family: Transfer RNA (tRNA) molecules are approximately 80 nucleotides in length. Their secondary structure includes four short double-helical elements and three loops (D, anti-codon, and T loops). Lineage: Eukaryota; Metazoa; Chordata; Mammalia; Artiodactyla; Bovidae. The record is from Rfam by way of RNAcentral.